UACGUAGGGUGCGAGCGUUAAUCGGAAUUACUGGGCGUAAAGCGUGCGCAGGCGGUUCGUUGUGUCGGCGGUGAAAUCCCCGGGCUCAACCUGGGAAUGGCCGUUGAAACUGGCGAACUGGAGUGUGGCAGAGGGGGGUGGAAUUCCGCGUGUAGCAGUGAAAUGCGUAGAGAUGCGGAGGAACACCGAUGGCGAAGGCAGCCCCCUGGGCUGACACUGACGCCUCAGGCACGAAAGCGUGGGGAGCGAACAGG
RNAcentral lists this ribosomal RNA (254 nucleotides) under uncultured bacterium. RNAcentral's name for it is "partial 16S ribosomal RNA". It matches the Rfam family "Bacterial small subunit ribosomal RNA", at positions 524 to 776 of the family's 1533-position model. The record is from RNAcentral.